Molecule: long non-coding RNA, 1236 nt
Filed under: Oryza sativa Indica Group (long-grained rice)
Lineage: Eukaryota; Viridiplantae; Streptophyta; Magnoliopsida; Poales; Poaceae
Description: lncRNA OsLiXu_Ung0030290
Source: RNAcentral
AUGUCCUCCUCCGAUCGCCGCCGCGGCGGCAACGGCGGCGGCAGCGGAGGCCCCGUCGCGGUGCCUUCUUCCCGCGCCGUAUGGCGACCCCGCUCUACCGCCCCUGAUAUCCCCCCCCGCCCGCGCCGCCGCCCCCGCACCCGAUCGCAUCGGCCCGAUCCUGCCCUCCCCCAAUCCGGCCUCGGAGAUCGACCGCAGCAGCAGCAACGUCGCCCGCGCCGGAGGAAUCAUGGGGGUGGCGGCCAGCGCCGCGGCCCGCCGCAGGAGAGGCCUUCCGCUGCGCCGCCCCCCCCCGCCGCCGCAGCAGCAGCAGCGGCAGCAGCAUGCGGCGCCCGCUCCGACCCGUGCCGCCGCGCCUGCGCCUGCGCGUGUGGCGGCGACGAAGGCGGCGGCGGGGGAGAUGGGGCGGUGCCGCAGCUGGUGCAGGAGAUCCAGGACAAGCUGGCGAGGGGGGCGGUGGAGUGCAUGAUCUGCUACGACAUGGUGCGGCGGUCGGCGCCGGUGUGGUCCUGCGGCAGCUGCUUCUCCAUCUCCACCUCCCCUGCAUCCGCAAGCCGACGACGCUGCAGCCACCAGGUGCCCCAUGUGUGCGUCCUGCAGUGCCACCCAGGGCCCUGCCCGCCUUGCAAAGCGUUCGCGCCGGACCGGCUGUGCCCAUGCGGCAAGCAGACCAUUGUGCGGCGGUGUGCGGACCGGACAACGCCUGUGACGUGUGGGCAGCGGUGUGAUCGGCUGCUCCCCUGCCGGAGGCACCGCUGCGAGAAGGUCUGCCACACUGGACCAUGCGGGGACUGUAAUGUUCUCAUUUCUGCCCGGUGUUUCUGUGGGAAGAAGACAGAGACAUUGCUGUGUGGAGAGAUGGAACUGAAAGGGAAUUUAUCUGAGAAGGACGGAGUGUUCUCAUGCAGUGAGGCCUGCAGCCAUAUGCUGUCGUGCGGAAAUCAUGCCUGCCAAGACAUUUGCCACCCAGGGCCAUGCGGGGAGUGCGAACUUAUGCCAGGGAAGGUCACAGCAUGCCAUUGUGGGAAGACAAGGCUGCUGGAGAAGAGAGCAAGCUGCUUGGACCCGAUCCCAACCUGUGACAAGGUGUGCGACAAGAAGCUGCCGUGUGGUGUGCAUAGGUGCAAGGUCACAUGCCAUGAGGGAGACUGCCCACCUUGUGUGGUUCGUGUGGAACAGAGGUGCCGCUGUGGUUCAUCAGGCCAGAUGGUGGAGUGCUACAAGGUCUUGGAGGAA